CAAAGAGAAAGGAUCAGAGAGCAUCACAACUUCUGUCACUGGAGAGAAGGGAACUUACUGGACAAAGCCUGAAAAAAAAUCCAGAAGACGAUGAUGAAGAAUUUAUUGGUGAUGUUUCUUGUUGCUGGCAUAGCCACAAUACUGCCGACUGCUGCUCAAACAACUGCUGUGCCAACCACCACCACUACUGCUUCAACAAUAACCACUGCUGCACCAUCAAGCACUGCUGCACAAACAGCUUCCACA
Molecule: long non-coding RNA, 246 nt
Organism: Fundulus heteroclitus (mummichog)
Lineage: Eukaryota; Metazoa; Chordata; Actinopteri; Cyprinodontiformes; Fundulidae
Exons: 3
Source: RefSeq, a predicted model, not a curated record